This 253-nucleotide ribosomal RNA is filed under the name uncultured bacterium. Its description in RNAcentral is "partial 16S ribosomal RNA". It matches the Rfam family "Bacterial small subunit ribosomal RNA", at positions 524 to 776 of the family's 1533-position model. The record is from RNAcentral.
UACGUAGGGUGCAAGCGUUGUCCGGAAUUAUUGGGCGUAAAGAGCUCGUAGGCGGUCUGUUGCGUCGGCUGUGAAAACCCGGGGCUCAACCCCGGGCCUGCAGCCGAUACGGGCAGACUAGAGUUCGGCAGGGGAGACUGGAAUUCCUGGUGUAGCGGUGAAAUGCGCAGAUAUCGGGAGGAACACCAAUGGCGAAGGCAGCUUGCUGGGACGGUACUGACGCUGAGGCGCGAAAGCGUGGGGAGCAAACAGG